GCGGCGUGCUUAACACAUGCAAGUCGAGCGAAGCAUUAAGAAGAUUCCUCGGAUGAUUCUUGACUGACUGAGCGGCGGACGGGUGAGUAACGCGUGGGUGACCUGCCCCAUACCGGGGGAUAACAGCUGGAAACGGCUGCUAAUACCGCAUAAGCGCACAGAGCUGCAUGGCUCGGUGUGAAAAACUCCGGUGGUAUGGGAUGGGCCCGCGUCUGAUUAGGCAGUUGGCGGGGUAACGGCCCACCAAACCGACGAUCAGUAGCCGGCCUGAGAGGGCGACCGGCCACAUUGGGACUGAGACACGGCCCAAACUCCUACGGGAGGCAGCAGUGGGGAAUAUUGCACAAUGGGGGAAACCCUGAUGCAGCGACGCCGCGUGAGCGAAGAAGUAUUUCGGUAUGUAAAGCUCUAUCAGCAGGGAAGAUAAUGACGGUACCUGACUAAGAAGCCCCGGCUAACUACGUGCCAGCAGCCGCGGUAAUACGUAGGGGGCAAGCGUUAUCCGGAUUUACUGGGUGUAAAGGGAGCGUAGACGGCAAGGCAAGUCUGAUGUGAAAACCCAGGGCUUAACCCUGGGACUGCAUUGGAAACUGUCUGGCUCGAGUGCCGGAGAGGUAAGCGGAAUUCCUAGUGUAGCGGUGAAAUGCGUAGAUAUUAGGAAGAACACCAGUGGCGAAGGCGGCUUACUGGACGGUAACUGACGUUGAG
Molecule: ribosomal RNA, 708 nt
Filed under: uncultured Lachnospiraceae bacterium
Lineage: Bacteria; Bacillati; Bacillota; Clostridia; Lachnospirales; Lachnospiraceae
Description: bacterial SSU rRNA
Rfam family: Bacterial small subunit ribosomal RNA
Source: RNAcentral